Molecule: ribosomal RNA, 259 nt
Filed under: uncultured bacterium
Lineage: Bacteria
Description: partial 16S ribosomal RNA
Rfam family: Bacterial small subunit ribosomal RNA
Source: RNAcentral
UACGUAGGGUCCGAGCGUUGUCCGGAAUUACUGGGCGUAAAGAGCUCGUAGGUGGUUUUGUCGCGUUGUUCGUGAAAACUCACAGCUUAACUGUGGGCGUGCGGGCGAUACGGGCAGACUUGAGUACUGCAGGGGAGACUGGAAUUCCUGGUGUAGCGGUGGAAUGCGCAGAUAUCAGGAGGAACACCGGUGGCGAAGGCGGGGUCUCUGGGGCAGUAACUGACGCUGAGGAGCGAAAAGCGUGGGGGGAGCGAAACAG